GCUUGCACCCGUUUCAUAAUGUAGAGAACGUAAUCCAAAAGUGGUCGCGUCAAAAACGGCCGCCUGCGUUCUUUUACUUUACCCUGAAGAAUUCUUAUUGCUCAUGAAAGGAUACAAAUCAAUCAUCCAUUGUGAGUUUCAGCAGGGGAUAAUAAAAAUAUGACUUUAUUCAUAUGUUUAUUGGUCUUUCCGUUUAAUUCGAAUAAAGUAAUGACGAAGAGAAAAGAAUAGGGGAGAGUGUAUUGGAUGGGGAGAGGUGAAAUUCUUUGAUCCAUUCAGGACAAACAAAAGCGAAGGCACUUUUCAGGUGCUUUUCAUUGGUCAGGGAGCGAAAGCAGAGGGAUCGAAGAUGAUUAGAAACCGUCGUAGUCUCUGCCGUAAACAAUGUCGACUUUGGUAUAGAGAAUAACAAAAUAAUUGUGAAAGAUUAUUAAGUUGUUUCUGUAUCAAUAGAG
This 455-nucleotide ribosomal RNA is filed under the name uncultured eukaryote. RNAcentral describes it as "bacterial SSU rRNA". It matches the Rfam family "Eukaryotic small subunit ribosomal RNA", at positions 674 to 1093 of the family's 1831-position model. The record is from RNAcentral.